AACGAACGCUGGCGGCAGGCUUAACACAUGCAAGUCGAGCGCCCCUCACGGGGAGCAGCAGACGGGUGAGUAACGCGUGGGAAUCUACCCAACUCUACGGAAUAACUCAGGGAAACUUGUGCUAAUACCGUAUACGCCCUUCGGGGAAAGAUUUAUCGGAGUUGGAUGAGCCCGCGUUGGAUUAGCUAGUUGGUGGGGCA
RNAcentral lists this ribosomal RNA (200 nucleotides) under uncultured bacterium. RNAcentral's name for it is "partial 16S ribosomal RNA". It matches the Rfam family "Bacterial small subunit ribosomal RNA", at positions 29 to 259 of the family's 1533-position model. The record is from RNAcentral.